CUCGCCGUAGCUCAGCGGACGAGAGCACCGCCCCCCGAAGGCGGGGGUCGCACGUUCGAGUCGUGCCGGCGAGGCCA
RNAcentral lists this transfer RNA (77 nucleotides) under Actinomycetota bacterium. RNAcentral describes it as "tRNA-Arg". The record is from RNAcentral. Lineage: Bacteria; Bacillati; Actinomycetota.